UCAUGGCUCAGGACGAACGCUGGCGGCAUGCCUAACACAUGCAAGUCGAACGGAGUUAAGAGAGCUUGCUUUCUUAACUUAGUGGCGGACGGGUGAGUAACGCGUGAGCAAUCUGCCUCUUAGUGGGGAAUAAUGUUCUGAAAAGAGCACUAAUACCGCAUAAUGUACAGUAGUCGCAUGGCAAUUGUACCAAAGAUUUAUCGCUGAGAGAUGAGCUCGCGUCCGAUUAGCCGGUUGGUGGGGUAACGGCCUACCAAAGCUACGAUCGGUAGCCGGACUGAGAGGUUGAACGGCCACAUUGGGACUGAGACACGGCCCAGACUCCUACGGGAGGCAGCAGUGGGGGAUAUUGCGCAAUGGGGGAAACCCUGACGCCAGCAAUGCCGCGUGAAGGAUGAAGGUCUUCGGAUUGUAAACUUCUUUUGUCAGGGACGAAAUUGACGGUACCUGACGAAUAAGCUCCGGCUAACUACGUGCCAGCAGCGGC
RNAcentral lists this ribosomal RNA (487 nucleotides) under uncultured bacterium. RNAcentral's name for it is "bacterial SSU rRNA". It matches the Rfam family "Bacterial small subunit ribosomal RNA", at positions 17 to 518 of the family's 1533-position model. The record is from RNAcentral.